CGUAACAGGACGCUCGUCUGCC
Molecule: microRNA, 22 nt
Filed under: Branchiostoma floridae (Florida lancelet)
Lineage: Eukaryota; Metazoa; Chordata; Leptocardii; Amphioxiformes; Branchiostomatidae
Description: Bfl-Mir-4891_3p (mature (guide))
Source: RNAcentral